This 2716-nucleotide long non-coding RNA is filed under the name Heterocephalus glaber (naked mole-rat). RNAcentral's name for it is "lncRNA (ENSHGLG00000043648.1)". Lineage: Eukaryota; Metazoa; Chordata; Mammalia; Rodentia; Bathyergidae. The record is from RNAcentral.
AAACAACAUUUUAUUGGAAAGAAGGUACUUUUCAGCAGGACCUUUUCCCAGAUUCUGGAGGUGUCUGAUCUCUGUACUCUUCUCCUUAUGGAGCCACCCCUGAAGGAUGAGGGAUUGAACUUGGGACCUUGCACUUGGGAAGAAGUGGCCGGAAUCAGUGAGCUAAAUCCCCAGCUCUAAUAAAUAUUUAUAAAGCAUCCUUGGAGGCUGAGGCAGAAGAAUCACAAGUUCUGGCCCACCUUGGGCAAUUUAGCAACUUAGCCAGACUCUGUCUAAAACAAAAACAGAAACAAAACUCAAACAAAAAACAGGGCUCUGGGGCCAGGGAUUUAGCUCAGUGGUUUUGCCACCUGUUACACAAGUGCAAGGACCCGAGUUUGAACCGUGGUACCAAAAAAAAAAAAAAAAAAACAGGCCUGAAAGGCUGAGAUAUUUAUUUAAUGUAAAGGCUCUGGGUUCAAAACCCAGUACUGGAGGACUGUGAGAGAAAUGGAGAGAGGCAAUUGUGAAUAGAUAUUUUCCGGAAGAGGAAACACAAAUGGUUCAUAAAGACAUAAAAAUAUUUUGAGUUUUAAUGUAUCAAGACAAUAUAAAUAAAAACCAUUAUGGCAUUCUUUAUAUAUGUCAGAUUUAUAAAAAAUAAAAAGUCAGCUAACAUCAAUUUUGGCAAGAAUAUGGAGCAAUAGGAAUUUACAAAGAAUCUGCAGGAGUAUAAUGUGGCACAGUCACCUUGUAAAAUAAUCUGGCAUUAACUAAUAAAAUUGAAUAUAUGCAUACUGUGUAACCUCAAAUUUCUCUUCUAUGUAUGUAUCUUACAGAAAUUUUUACACAUGAAACAGGCCAUGUUCAACAAAGCAUUAUUCCUUUUAGCAAAAUCUGGAAGUAAUCCAAAUAUUCACCAACAAAGGAUUGAAUGGACUCAGGCUCAUUACAGUACUGUCUCAUUGCUUUUAAAACAUGUAUCAUUUUAUGUUUUUACUGCCUUCUUCCUCCUUCUAGAAAAUAAGUUACCUGAAAAAGAUAAUAGGGGAUAUACAUAUAAUACUAUAUAGCAGUAACAUGUCUGUCUGCCUGUCUGUCUGUGUGACUACCUGUAUAUGGACACACGCAUGAUAUUGAACCAUAAAAAGAAGUUACAGAAAAAAGCAUAUAGAGUAAUGUUAUUUAGUAAAAGUUAAAAGAAGGCAAAAUGAAAUAAUUUGGGGUAAAAGUACAUACAUGUCAAAAAUUAAAAAGAAAAGCAAGAGAGCAGUUAGUGUUAAUUCUAUAAAGAUUGUCUCCCAAGGUAUGGAAGUGAGCAGAUCAGAAAGGACCCUCAGAGCCUCCCAAUGGAUCAGCAAUGCAGGGGUGCAGCAGUGUCAUUUUAUUAGUCUUCAUUAGGUGACACCUAUACGGUACAGAUAUGACUUUUAAAUAGUAAACACUCUAAUGUAAUAUUUUUAUAAAGAUUGACAGAUGUACAAAUUCAGGUCAAGAAAAUGUUAGGGUAAAAAUAUUAACUGGAGCAAAAUAAGUAGUUUUAUAUCUUAGCCCAAACAUGAAAUUAAAACAAUUAUAAGGAGAACGGCUAUAAAAUAGAAAGAGGGAGAUUUUUAAACAAGACAUAGAGCUCAGAAAGGGAUGCAAAUACACAGAAAUCUAGUAUGCAAAAACAGUAAUAGCUCACAUUGAUAAGGUGUUUACUAGGUACACUGCUACUUGAAAUUACUAUAUUAACUCCUGAUAGAUCAAAGAUUUAAAUAUAAAAUAGUCAUAAAUAUAUAAUAAAGGUAGGUAUUCGCUUGAGCAAAAUUUCCUACAGGCAGCUUUUGUUGACCUCCCUGGAAACUAAUAAUGCUUCCACUAUGGGCCACCAGAGCAGCCUGGAGGCUAAUGCUUUCCCCGUUACUAUGUAACAUUUUUUAUAGCAGUUCUGUGUUUAAUUCUCACUCACCCUGCCCCAAUUGGAAGACUGUGAACUGAAGGCAUGAUGUGUUCUUACUCAUUACUGUAUCCCUAGCAAUUCAGAGAGUACCUGGUGCAGAGUAGCUGCUCCAUAAUGAACAUUUGUUGAAUUCAUACAUGUAUGACCAAAUAAAUGAAUAUAGAUUUGGCCUUGGAUAGACUUGUGAAAUCAUAUAUAAAAGCAGAAGCCAUAGAAGCAAAUAAUUAAAAUAAUUGAUUAUGUCAGAAACCAAAACCAAAUGUACAGCAGGGAAAAGACAAUUGGCAAAAUGGAGAAAAUAAAAUAUGGUAGUACAAUGUCAGACAAAGAGUUACUAUAACUCAUUGACAAAAAGCUGUUAGAAAUUGAUAAGAAAAAGAUGAACAAAAUUGUUCACGCCUCAUUCCCACAUGUGCACACAAUUUAUUCUUUUUCAUGAUUCUGUUAACUGGGCUCAGCUGGGUAAUUCUUGCUUGGACUCCUUGAUGGCAGUUGCAAGCAGAUGUAGGCUGAGUCCACACACUCAUGAUGGCUUCCUUGCAAGGUGGCAGCUGCUGCUGGUUGAACACUGGGAGCCAGCACAGCUGCAGUUAGGGCUGCAUCUGGGGCUGGUGACCACAGUGCCUAUAUGUGGCUUCACUUGAAGUUGAAGCUUCUGUUACUAUAUCAACUGGGUCCUAGUGGAAGCCUCCCUCUGGUGAGUUGUCCAAAAGACCCAGAGAGGCUACGACGCUCUAAUGAACUCAUCUUGAAAAAUUGUACAGCCUCAUUUCUGCCAUAUUUCUCAUCCAG